This 531-nucleotide ribosomal RNA is filed under the name Acanthagrion phallicorne. RNAcentral describes it as "partial 16S ribosomal RNA". It matches the Rfam family "Bacterial large subunit ribosomal RNA", at positions 1819 to 2619 of the family's 2925-position model. The record is from RNAcentral. Lineage: Eukaryota; Metazoa; Arthropoda; Insecta; Odonata; Coenagrionidae.
GGCCUAUUUGGCUUAUUUAAUAGGUCUGGCCUGCCCAGUGAACAUUUUAACGGCCGCGGUAUAUUGACCGUGCAAAGGUAGCAUAAUCAUUAGUCUUUUAAUAGGGGGCUGGAAUGAAAGGUUUAACGAAAAAUUAGCUGUCUCAAUUGUAAAUUUGAAUUUAUCUUUUAAGUCAAAAGACUUAAAUUUAAUUGAAGGACGAGAAGACCCUAUAGAGCUUUACAGGUUUUUGAUUUAAUUAAUUUAGGUGAAAAAUUUAAUUUAAUUGAAAGUUUGUUUUGUUGGGGUGACAAAAAAUAUAAGAUUAACUUUUAUUAUUGUUUUUACAUUAAUUUAUGAUUUAUUGGAUCCAUAAUUUUUGAUCAUUAGAUUAAGUUACCUUAGGGAUAACAGCGUAAUCUCCUCUAGGAGUUCUUAUUUACGGGGAGGGUUGCGACCUCGAUGUUGGAUUAAGAUAAUAAUUAGGUGCAGCAGCUUAAUUAAUAGGUCUGUUCGACCUUUAAAUUCUUACAUGAUCUGAGUUCAGACCGG